GCCGGGUGUGGUGGCUCACACCUGUAAUCCCAGCACUUUGGGAGGCUGAGACGGGUGGAUCACCUGAGGUCAGGAGUUCGAGACCAGCCUGGCCAACUUGGGGAAAACCUGUCUCUA
Gorilla gorilla gorilla (western lowland gorilla) is the source of this 117-nucleotide non-coding RNA. It matches the Rfam family "Metazoan signal recognition particle RNA". Rfam says of the family: The signal recognition particle (SRP) is a universally conserved ribonucleoprotein. It is involved in the co-translational targeting of proteins to membranes. The eukaryotic SRP consists of a 300-nucleotide 7S RNA and six proteins: SRPs 72, 68, 54, 19, 14, and 9. NCBI's taxonomy places the organism in Eukaryota, Metazoa, Chordata, Mammalia, Primates, Hominidae. The record is from Rfam.